This 424-nucleotide ribosomal RNA is filed under the name Cytherissa golyschkinae. RNAcentral's name for it is "partial small subunit ribosomal RNA". The record is from RNAcentral. Lineage: Eukaryota; Metazoa; Arthropoda; Ostracoda; Podocopida; Cytherideidae.
UUUAAUAGUCGAACAGACUAGCUUACAUAGCUACUACACUAGGUCGCACCUUUAAUUCAACAUCGAGGUCACAAGAUCUUUUAUCAAUUAGGGCUCUCCAAAAGCAUUGUGCUGUUAUCCCUGAGGUAACUGCUCUUUAACUUGAUUAAGACCUUAAUUACCCUAUAAGUAUCGGUUUAUAAACUAGAUAGCUUAAUUUACCGCCCCAGUUUAAUAGAGUCGCAACAGAGAAUUUGAUUGUUUGAGUCUAAGCUCCGGCUAGAUUAGCUCUGCAGGGUCUUAUCUUCCCAUUGGUUAAGCUUGAAGUUUUGAUCAAGGCCUUAAAUUAUUUAACCCACGGGUUUACAAGUCGUCUUUCAUGAGCCCCUUCAUUCUAGACCCCAAUUAAAAGCCAAAUUAUUAUGCUACCUUUGCACAGUUAGGA